This 29-nucleotide non-coding RNA is filed under the name Bombyx mori (domestic silkworm). Lineage: Eukaryota; Metazoa; Arthropoda; Insecta; Lepidoptera; Bombycidae. The record is from RNAcentral.
UCAACUACAGAUGAUCUGAUGUCUUCCCU